UGGCUCAGGACGAACGCUGGCGGCGUGCUUCAUACAUGCAAGUCGAACGAGAAAUUUACUUCGGUAAAUGGAAAGUGGCGGACGGGUGAGUAAUGUGUAGAGAAUCUGCCCUAGAGUGGGGGACAACAGUUGGAAACGACUGCUAAUACCGCAUAUGAGCAUACCUGAAAUGGUAUUCUUGAAAACUCCGGUGCUCUGGGAUGAGUCUGCAUCUGAUUAGCUAGUUGGGGGUGUAAUGGACCACCAAGGCGACGAUCAGUAGCUGGUUUGAGAGGAUGAUCAGCCACAAUGGGACUGAGACACGGCCCAUACUCCUACGGGAGGCAGCAGUAGGGAAUUUUGCGCAAUGGGGGAAACCCUGACGCCAGCAACGCCGCGUGAUUGGAUAAGCCCUUCGGGGUGUAAAGAUCUGUCAGUGGGGACGAAACUUGACGGUACCCACAGAGGAAGCAUCGGCUAACUCCGUGCCAGCCGCGGC
This 478-nucleotide ribosomal RNA is filed under the name uncultured bacterium. RNAcentral describes it as "bacterial SSU rRNA". It matches the Rfam family "Bacterial small subunit ribosomal RNA", at positions 20 to 518 of the family's 1533-position model. The record is from RNAcentral.